Molecule: long non-coding RNA, 415 nt
Organism: Dendronephthya gigantea
Lineage: Eukaryota; Metazoa; Cnidaria; Anthozoa; Malacalcyonacea; Nephtheidae
Exons: 3
Source: RefSeq, a predicted model, not a curated record
UUGCUAUUUGGCACGCAUGCUUAUAUUCCACGAGAGUAUUUUUAAUGCAAUAUGUCUUUAGUAGUUUUGCGACAAUCUUUAUAUUUUACCUAAAAUCUCUGUCGAAAAAUAAAACAUUUUUAAAAUCCAAAAUCCUGAAAAAAUCCUUGGAUGGUCUCAGAAGGGUCCUCAGGUGAAGGAUUAUCUGGUGUUAAAGUCGUAUUUCCUAUGGUAUAUAUCUGCUUUGAAGGAGAAUUAACCAGCCGUGCAUGGGAAACAGCAGAUGGGUUGAAAAAAUGACAUACUGACUGAGAUAUUUUACAUCAGGAGGAAAGUGUGGAUCAGAUGACAUAUGAGAGGUCUUAUCAAUAGGGUGAUAUACAACUGGACUGGGUACUUAUCAAUGGGAUGAUAUACAACUGGAGUGUGAACAUGU